CUACGUAGGGUGCAAGCGUUAAUCGGAAUUACUGGGCGUAAAGCGUGCGCAGGCGGUCUUGUAAGACAGAGGUGAAAUCCCCGGGCUCAACCUGGGAACUGCCUUUGUGACUGCAAGGCUUGAGUACGGUAGAGGGGGAUGGAAUUCCGCGUGUAGCAGUGAAAUGCGUAGAUACGCGGAGGAACACCGAUGGCGAAGGCAAUCCCCUGGACCUGUACUGACGCUCAUGCACGAAAGCGUGGGGAGCAAACAGGAGUAGAUACCCUGGUAGUCCACGCCCUAAACGAUGUCAACUGGUUGUUGGGAAGGUUCCUUCUCAGUAACGUAGCUAACGCGUGAAGUUGACCGCCUGGGGAGUACGGCCGCAAGGUUGAAACUCAAAUGAAUUGGCGGGG
This 395-nucleotide ribosomal RNA is filed under the name uncultured bacterium. RNAcentral describes it as "partial 16S ribosomal RNA". It matches the Rfam family "Bacterial small subunit ribosomal RNA", at positions 523 to 918 of the family's 1533-position model. The record is from RNAcentral.